This is a long non-coding RNA of Miniopterus natalensis, 2023 nucleotides long. RefSeq lists it as uncharacterized. The record is from RefSeq and is a predicted model, not a curated record. NCBI's taxonomy places the organism in Eukaryota, Metazoa, Chordata, Mammalia, Chiroptera, Miniopteridae.
CUCGCAGCGCAGUACGCUCUUUUGCGUCCGGACUAGGGAGUUGGUCCAGGCUGCUUGAAACGGUGGUGCUGGUAACGAAGCUGUUACGUGAAGAUGCUAAGAUGCAAAGGAAAAUUCCAAAACAUGGGAGAAGAUUUGCGGGGAAAGUACCUGGCUAAAACUUGACAAUCUUAUUAGCAUCCUGGGGAUUGAUGAAUACUAAUGAAGCUGUGGAUAUCACUGGCUGUCAGCUUCAUUUGGAAUGAGGGGUCGCUGUCUGCUGUCUGUUGAAAAGAGGCCGGUUUGCUGUGAUGUUUUUAAGCUGUAACCAUUUCUGGCUAGUGUUAACAAGAUUUACCUGCUUGUUAUAUGGAUAACUGGUGAUCAGGAAAAGCUCUUCAUUUUGUGGACUUGGAAAGAAAACAUGCAGAUCAAGAUGUAUGGAGUUUUAAAUUAUGCAAAUAGAUUCUGAACCAACAUUAAAUAUAGAUUAAUGUAUCUUUAAAAUUCAAGCCAUUUUUAGUCAUGUCACAUACUGAAUAUUUGUAAUAGAAAUUUUUUUCCAGUUAAGUAACCUUGUAAUCAAAUAAUUCUGGAUGAAUGUCUUACCUUUGGUCACCUGUUUAAGUUUAAAAUGUAUAAUUAAAGCUGUGUGAAAGUUUGUGCUGUUAAGUGGAGAUGUGGACAGAUGGCCUAUUACGGGAUGGGGGAAUACCAGGCAUAAAAGUGAUCACUGAUUGAGUCAGAUUAUUUGGUCUUACAUAAUUGGAAUUUGAAAGGAUGUUUUAAAAAUGAAGAGAGCAAGGUGUGGCAGUUAAAGGUCACUGAAAAUCUGGUUUAGAAGUAGUCAAACAUUGCACAGAAUGGAUUUAGUGUAAACAGUAAUAGCAUCUGAUCUAACCAAGGUGAUUAGGUUCCCCAUUCAUGAUCACCUUCCCUAAAUAGCUGCAUGAAUAAGUUGUUCCCAAGCCCAUAUUUAAAUGUCAUAGUCAAAACACCAAUUUUUUUUUUCCUCAGUGAGCCAUCAUUUUCCUUAAAAUGAUUUCUUGCCUUAGUGAAAAAAAUUCUAUUUUGGACCCAUGCAGCUCAGGAGAGGCUGAUGAGACUGACAGGCCUAUAGCUGGGUGGCCAAGCACAUAGUGAAUUUGCCCCAAGUAGUAAGAUGGUAUGAAGUGGAACUUUGAAACUGUUUCUUGCACCCAUAUUAAAAUGAUGAACUAAAAAUUAAAGGGCUUUGUAUUUGGCGUAUCUGCACAUUAAACCAGGUACAAGAAAUUCCACAGUGGCUCUGGUUUGUGGGAAGUUAAGAGGCCUUUGAGUCUUGUUUCAGUGAGAAAGAUGAAUUAGCAUAAUGUUACACAUAAUAUGAGUAUCAUGAUAUUACCAAAAGAAAUGAAGAAAACUGACCUUUGAGGUAAAAUGUACCUUCAGGUAAGGUUUCAAUGAGAUAGUGUAUAUAAAAUGCAGCAAUUGCAAUCUUGACUAUUAACAGCUCUCAUAUUUCCUCUUGAUCUAAGGUCAAGAAACAAGUAGCAUUGUGUUUGUAAUCUUAUUAGUUGCCUUUAUUAUAUGUACUUCGAAAUAGGUAAGUAAUGUUUGGUAAUGCAUUUUAUAAGAUCUGUUUCACUGGCUUAAGUGCAUAGACAACUACCUGGUACUUGGUUGUAGAGUAAAUUUUAAGUGAACAAUGAAUGAUAUAAGACAAAUUGGGAUCCUGCACAAAACUUUCAGGCAAAAGUGUCUUCUACCCUUUGUCAGAGCUGGCAAACAAGACUAAAGCCAGAGUUGUGAAACAAUGAUCCCUCUGACCUUUUCCUGCAGUUCUUCUGGUUUUGCUCCUUUCCUUCCCAAUCAUUCUUGUAAUGUCAUAUUUCCUUAGUUGAUAAAUUGGUAAUGUGCAUUUACUUCAUUGCACUGUAUUAGGUUCCAAAGAGGUCAGAUGUAAAAUACUCUCUGUUUUCUAUAUGUCAGUAGUAUAAAAUGCCAAGGAAAGUGAAAAGCAAGGCAUCUGUAAUACUGUCAAUAAAAAAAUUUUAAAAAGCAA